GAGGUUGUGGCUCAGAGGUUGAGUGCUUGCCUAACAUGAGUGAGGCACUGAGUUCGAUACUUAGCACCUCA
This 71-nucleotide transfer RNA is filed under the name Marmota monax (woodchuck). RNAcentral's name for it is "tRNA.Val". Lineage: Eukaryota; Metazoa; Chordata; Mammalia; Rodentia; Sciuridae. The record is from RNAcentral.